RNAcentral lists this ribosomal RNA (252 nucleotides) under uncultured bacterium. RNAcentral describes it as "partial 16S ribosomal RNA". It matches the Rfam family "Bacterial small subunit ribosomal RNA", at positions 524 to 776 of the family's 1533-position model. The record is from RNAcentral.
UACGUAGGGCGCAAGCGUUAUCCGGAAUUAUUGGGCGUAAAGAGCUCGUAGGCGGUUUGUCGCGUCUGCCGUGAAAGUCCGGGCUCAACUCCGGAUCUGCGGUGGGUACGGGCAGACUAGAGUGAUGUAGGGGAGACUGGAAUUCCUGGUGUAGCGGUGAAAUGCGCAGAUAUCAGGAGGAACACCGAUGGCGAAGGCAGGUCUCUGGGCAUUAACUGACGCUGAGGAGCGAAAGCAUGGGGAGCGAACAGG